CCUUAUACAUGCAAGUCGAACGAACUCUGGUAUUGAUUGGUGCUUGCAUCAUGAUUUACAUUUGAGUGAGUGGCGAACUGGUGAGUAACACGUGGGAAACCUGCCCAGAAGCGGGGGAUAACACCUGGAAACAGAUGCUAAUACCGCAUAACAACUUGGACCGCAUGGUCCGAGCUUGAAAGAUGGCUUCGGCUAUCACUUUUGGAUGGUCCCGCGGCGUAUUAGCUAGAUGGUGGGGUAACGGCUCACCAUGGCAAUGAUACGUAGCCGACCUGAGAGGGUAAUCGGCCACAUUGGGACUGAGACACGGCCCAAACUCCUACGGGAGGCAGCAGUAGGGAAUCUUCCACAAUGGACGAAAGUCUGAUGGAGCAACGCCGCGUGAGUGAAGAAGGGUUUCGGCUCGUAAAACUCUGUUGUUAAAGAAGAACAUAUCUGAGAGUAACUGUUCAGGUAUUGACGGUAUUUAACCAGAAAGCCACGGCUAACUACGUGCCAGCAGCCGCGGUAAUACGUAGGUGGCAAGCGUUGUCCGGAUUUAUUGGGCGUAAAGCGAGCGCAGGCGGUUUUUUAAGUCUGAUGUGAAAGCCUUCGGCUCAACCGAAGAAGUGCAUCGGAAACUGGGAAACUUGAGUGCAGAAGAGGACAGUGGAACUCCAUGUGUAGCGGUGAAAUGCGUAGAUAUAUGGAAGAACACCAGUGGCGAAGGCGGCUGUCUGGUCUGUAACUGACGCUGAGGCUCGAAAGUAUGGGUAGCAAACAGGAUUAGAUACCCUGGUAGUCCAUACCGUAAACGAUGAAUGCUAAGUGUUGGAGGGUUUCCGCCCUUCAGUGCUGCAGCUAACGCAUUAAGCAUUCCGCCUGGGGAGUACGGCCGCAAGGCUGAAACUCAAAGGAAUUGACGGGGGCCCGCACAAGCGGUGGAGCAUGUGGUUUAAUUCGAAGCUACGCGAAGAACCUUACCAGGUCUUGACAUACUAUGCAAAUCUAAGAGAUUAGACGUUCCCUUCGGGGACAUGGAUACAGGUGGUGCAUGGUUGUCGUCAGCUCGUGUCGUGAGAUGUUGGGUUAAGUCCCGCAACGAGCGCAACCCUUAUUAUCAGUUGCCAGCAUUAAGUUGGGCACUCUGGUGAGACUGCCGGUGACAAACCGGAGGAAGGUGGGGAUGACGUCAAAUCAUCAUGCCCCUUAUGACCUGGGCUACACACGUGCUACAAUGGAUGGUACAACGAGUUGCGAACUCGCGAGAGUAAGCUAAUCUCUUAAAGCCAUUCUCAGUUCGGAUUGUAGGCUGCAACUCGCCUACAUGAAGUCGGAAUCGCUAGUAAUCGCGGAUCAGCAUGCCGCGGUGAAUACGUUCCCGGGCCUUGUACACACCGCCCGUCACACCAUGAGAGUUUGUAACACCCAAAGUCGGUGGGGUAACCUUUUAGGAACCAGCCGCCUAAG
This 1449-nucleotide ribosomal RNA is filed under the name Lactiplantibacillus plantarum. Its description in RNAcentral is "bacterial SSU rRNA". It matches the Rfam family "Bacterial small subunit ribosomal RNA". The record is from RNAcentral. Lineage: Bacteria; Bacillati; Bacillota; Bacilli; Lactobacillales; Lactobacillaceae.